Molecule: ribosomal RNA, 253 nt
Filed under: uncultured bacterium
Lineage: Bacteria
Description: partial 16S ribosomal RNA
Rfam family: Bacterial small subunit ribosomal RNA
Source: RNAcentral
UACGGGGGGGGCAAGCGUUGUUCGGAAUUACUGGGCGUAAAGGGCUCGUAGGUGGCCAACUAAGUCAGACGUGAAAUCCCUCGGCUUAACCGGGGAACUGCGUCUGAUACUGGAUGGCUUGAGUUUGGGAGAGGGACGCGGAAUUCCAGGUGUAGCGGUGAAAUGCGUAGAUAUCUGGAGGAACACCGGUGGCGAAGGCGGCGUCCUGGACCAACACUGACACUGAGGAGCGAAGGCCAGGGGAGCAAACGGG